AAGAAAACGAAAAAUCUCCCGCCCAGGAGGGAACUCACGAGCCGUAGAGAGCAACGUCACGCACAGAGGCUGGGGGGGAGUGGCGAAAGUCGAGCAUGCGCACAACGGAGCGGCCUCUUGUGGCGGAAGUGGGGAAGUGCUGGGUCGCCUCAUCCGUCACAGAGUAAUGGCGGCUCACCUGCCAACGAAGAAGGACCACAUUCUGUGCUGUGUGUGGAGCGGAGGCAGAAAAUUCACUUUGUAGCCAGACAGAACGGCCGCCUGCAGCUACACACACUCUGGGGGUGCCACCUUGUCUGGAGAAAAUACCAAGAACCUUCCUACAUUUUGUCUGUAUGCGGGCGGUCUUACCUGUCAGCGCAGGACGCCUGGGGUUCAAGGGAUACUGUCAUGGGAAAACUUGUUUUCUUCAAACACAUCAGUUAAUAGUGCUGCUCCAGCAGAAUUCUGCACUGAAACAUACCUCCAAAAAUUUUGGAAAUAAAAUAGGGACAAAAAGUUGUGGCGUGCGUAGCACGGCAUUUUUUUGGCCACACCCAUUUUGUGGCCACACCCCCUAAUUACCAUGUUCAUUUAGGGUUGCCACCUUUUCUGGAAAAAAAUACCGGCCUAUAUAUCGGGCUUUAUUGUAUUAAAUCCAUCAUACUACGACAGAGCGAAUAUUUUCACUACAACUAAAUGAUGCAGAGUAGCUAUCCUUCAGUAAUACUAAUUGAAUGCAUGAGCUUAAUGUUAUGCAGUUGAACAUGAUUCUUCAAAAUGUAAAUGUACAGUUAAAAAACGACUAUAGUUGUAUUAAAUAGCAACUACA
This is a long non-coding RNA of Xenopus laevis (African clawed frog), 811 nucleotides long. RefSeq lists it as uncharacterized. The record is from RefSeq and is a predicted model, not a curated record. The transcript has 2 exons. NCBI's taxonomy places the organism in Eukaryota, Metazoa, Chordata, Amphibia, Anura, Pipidae.